GAUUAACGCUGGCGGCGUGCAUAACACAUGCAAGUCGAACGAUAAAACUUAGUAGACUUCUUCGGAACGACACUAAGCGGAUUAGUGGCGAACGGGUGAGUAACGCGUGAGUAACCUGCCUUACACAAGGGGAUAGCCUUUGGAAACGAAGAAUAAUACCCUAUAACACCAUGAAAGAACAUGCUAGAAUGGUCAAAGUGAUAGCGGUGUAAGAUGGACUUGCGUCUGAUUAGCUAGUUGGUGAGAUAAAAGCUCACCAAGGCAACGAUCAGUAGCCGGCUGGAGGGAGUGGACGGCCACAUUGGGACAGGGACAAGGCGCAAACAUCGAAGAGAGGCAGCAGGGGGGAAGUUGGCACAAUGGGGGAAACCAGGAGGCAGCGGGGUCGCGAGAUUGAGAAGGCCGGCGGGUUGUAAAAAUCGUUUGUAUAGGAAGAAAAUGACAGUACUAGAAGAAGAAGGUCCGGCUAAUUACGUG
Molecule: ribosomal RNA, 477 nt
Filed under: uncultured bacterium
Lineage: Bacteria
Description: partial 16S ribosomal RNA
Rfam family: Bacterial small subunit ribosomal RNA
Source: RNAcentral